GAGGUUGACCUCCCCUCUUGGCUCAGAGGAGAGAUCUCAAGCGAGAGAAAGGACGAGUUCAAGGUCACCCACAGGCCUGCCAGGCUUCCCAGAAUCCCAGGUGGGGCCCCUCAAUCAGUGUGUACAAUCAAGGAGGUGACUCUGGAAGGUGCCAACCCUAAGGAGGAAAGAUAGCAGCCUGGGGAUGGGAGAUGGCUUUUCUCAAUGGGGUGCUAGGGCAGGGAGAAGUCUGGGGACUUGGCUCACAUCCUUCCCAGGUAAACCAAGAACCCUUUGGUGCAGGAGAGGUGAGAAGAUGGGACAGAGAGUCCCUCAGCCAAGUCUGGAGUUUGGGGAGGAGGGAGCAGCGCCUGACACUUCAUGACUAGAGGAAGCCAGUCUCUCUAGAUGUUAUCGUCACCGAUAACUCGGGCUGGGUGACAGGCCAGGAGCUGCACAAACACGAGGCUUGUGGACUGAAGAAUGAAGAGCAGGCAUGCAGGGAAGGGACAUUUCCCUGCACUUCACUUGAAAUGUGGUGGCAGGGGGGCAUCAGACAAGUUGUUUUGUAU
Molecule: long non-coding RNA, 551 nt
Filed under: Homo sapiens (human)
Lineage: Eukaryota; Metazoa; Chordata; Mammalia; Primates; Hominidae
Description: non-protein coding lnc-PLAUR-1:1
Source: RNAcentral